This is a long non-coding RNA of Leptopilina boulardi, 418 nucleotides long. RefSeq lists it as uncharacterized. The record is from RefSeq and is a predicted model, not a curated record. Lineage: Eukaryota; Metazoa; Arthropoda; Insecta; Hymenoptera; Figitidae. The transcript has 3 exons.
UGUCGAAAAGGGUCUAAGGGGAAAGCAAUUUAGUUGAAAUCAGUGUAGCUGGUGUGACUUCCAAUUCAUUUUUUAGAGAAGUUUAUUUACAAGGAAUUUUAUUUUCAAUUUUCCAAUAAGAAAAGUAAUAUAAUUUACUAAAUAAUGUUCGCACUACUCGAAUAAGAAUAAAUGUAAUAAAUAACUAUGAGAUAAUAUUUUUGAAGAAAUUCAAUGUGACCAAAAAGUAUGGAACAGAAAAAUUUCGUAUUACAGAAAAAUUAUUCAAUGAGAGAAAUAUACGUUUGGAUUCAAUAACUUGAGACGAUAGAAUCAAUUCCAGUGUGUACUUCCCCGACUAAGCGUUCAUAGAAUGGAAAAGACGAUGAGCAUAGCUUUUAUAAUAUGAACGAAAUUUUUGAAUACUGGUGUACCAAAG